AAUCAUUGUCUGUGGGUAGACUAUAAAGGCAGGUAGUUGCUUUCUGAGCGCUGCCUUCACUCUGAAUGCACGUCCGCCUCCCGUUCGCUGGACUUCUGCAAUUGCUGCAGGUCCCUGUGUGUAGUAGCAGGAUAGGCUCCAUAGACUCUCUCUUCCCCUGAACUUACAGACGCUGCCUGAUUGGACUGUGGGCCCUGGUCAGCAUUUAGCAGCUUCCCCCAGGAGCUGCUGUGGCCAUUCUGGCCCAUGCUGCAAGAAUGCUGCUGCUUUGCCUUUAAUUAGUGUUAACAAUCAUUGUCUUUGUUUUGAAUUGUUUGGUCGGGUCCACUGCUGCUGCGUUGAGGGCCGGCAGUUCCAUGACUAGUACUCUUUUAGCUUAGCCGUUUUAAUGGUGUGAGUGUGCGUGUGUGUAGUGAGCAGGGUUUUUUCUUUUCUUUUGUUGUCAUCGUUUGCUUAUUCUCAGUUUUGCUUAGUUUAGUUCAUUCAUUUAUCUCUACUUUAUAGCUUACAUAAAGAUUUCAUAUCAAUAAUAUUGUUAGUUUAUUGUGUUUAUUCUGUUCCUAAGUUGCUGGUUAGGUGUUUAACCAUCUGACCAACUGCUAUUGUUUUGGAGAAGUGUUUCUUUAGUUUAGUUUAGUUUGUUUGUUCAUUCUUUUCUUCUUCCUUUUUUUUUUCUUGUUUCGUUACACCACUGGCAAGAGGCCCUUUGUCAGAGUCUGCUCUCCCCCUCACCUGUUGCUGUGGGAAUUAUCCAAUCAUUCAGUCUCAC
This is a long non-coding RNA of Thunnus maccoyii (southern bluefin tuna), 769 nucleotides long. RefSeq lists it as uncharacterized. The record is from RefSeq and is a predicted model, not a curated record. The transcript has 3 exons. Lineage: Eukaryota; Metazoa; Chordata; Actinopteri; Scombriformes; Scombridae.